GCUGGGAGCGCGGGGCUGCAGCUCCACGCGCCGCGGAGCCCGGGCACGGCGCGGCUCCCCCCUCCCGCGCCCCAUCCUUCGCGCUGCCCGGUGUCGCCCAUGCUGCAGGCGGGCCCCGCCGCCCCCCCGUCACCCUCCAGGAGCAGGUGAGCCACUGACUAACGCACAUUGUGCUCUCGGCGACUCCACUGUGCGUGUGACAGCGGCUAACCUGCUCCUCGGACAUCACUGUGCGGCCGCCUCGCCUGCCCGGACCCGCGCCUCGAAGCCUCGACGCGCUCCUGCCCUCUCGGCCAGCCAGCCCUGCGUUUGGGACUGUGCUGGCUGAGGAGUUGACCCCAGGAGAUGCCGCUGGCAGGAGCAGCUCUGCAGGUCGCCUGGCAAGGCCUGUCCCAGUUCCCAUGAGCAGCACCAUGGUGUGGAUGCUCCCGACUUCCUGCUACCGAUGGAACCAUCCUGUUCAGCUCCACUCUUCUUGGAAGGAAGGGAACAGGCCUUACCGUUCAAGCACCACACUAAGAAGUCUUCUGUCCAUAACAUGUGCCAGUGUCAGGGCAAGGUAGAAGGCAGUCAGUCUGCACUCUGAGAUGGAGAAUGAAAAAUCAUCUUAGGAGAGCAGACAAUGUUCCCUGCAUGGACACACACGCCAGUUCAAACAGCUCUUCUUCAUCUGCAGUGAACUAUGCUGGGAGAAGCUGUGCAGCCAGGAGCAAGCAGCAGAGCAUCUGUACACCACUUGGGGAGCAAAACCAACAGGCAUUUUCUCCUCCAGACAUUCACACCUUUCCUUAUGUAACUGGUGCUGAAGUGUGUGCUUUAAAAGCUGCUUGCCAAAUCCAGGGGCUGGGAGGCAGCACAAAUGCUUCUAGCACUCUAGAUGAAAUUGAGGGGGGAAAAAAAAACCCCAAACCCAAACACCCAGGAACUCGUACAAAUACGUAACUGUAAUUUGGGGAUGGUUCAAGUGUCUGCAGCAGUGUUGCCCUGAAGAAACUGCACUGGCCUGGGGCAGUGCUGGCACCCAGACCACCAUUUGAUGAGGAUGGUGAGGAGCUGACUGUCCAGGAUAGAGGGGUGAGGAGCUGGGGGCCAUUUUUCUUACACAAUAUUAAAAAACCCCAAAAACUAAAAAAAAAAUCAGGUAGUGCAGCCAGGAAAAGGGCGCCAGGGAGGCUGGAGGUGGCUGAAAUACUCUUCUGAAUGGUGCCUUGUGCUGGCAGAACCUGCAGAUUUAUUAAAAAAAAACCAAAAAACAAACCCAACAAAAAUGCAGGACUGCUCACCAGUGAAAAACAGGUAUAUCCUUCACUUUGUGACUUUUGGGUGGCACUAGAGCUAGCCAGGAGAAGCAUCUGAGGAGAGAGAAGCUCUGAAGUCCAUUCCUGCCCACUCCAGGGAAGGAAGAAGCUGCCCACAGCGCCUGAGGGACAUGGGGACACGAGUCCCUGCGCAGGCAGCACAGCAUCCUCGAGCCACCCUGCACGCUUGGAUCCCUGCCUUGCCUGCAAGCCAGUUGUUCCCUCUCCAGUACGCGCCGUACGCAGGGCUGCUGGUUUGUUUUUUAAGGGAAAAAAAUAAUUUAUUUGCUUUGUUUUAAUCUCAUAACAAUGGGUAAUGGUAAUUUCUUCCUACCACUCUGUAGUGGCCUAGAAAAGGACAGCAUCAUCUCCACUGUAGCAAGAAGGCUUGUCCCAGGGCAUAAAAUUUUAAUUAGGAACAAUCACGCAGCCUUGAAAUGGGAAUUGCGAGCAGCAAAAAAGUCAAACCAUCAAUAAAAUAUUCAAUGGCAGAAAUGUAUUAUUGACACAGACUUUAGAGCAGCUAAAAGCGGGAAGGCGGGGGAGCGGGUAUUGAGCCUCGCUGCAUUAAAUAACAGGCAGGGACCCGCCCGGGCACAGGCCCCCCGAGCCGCAGGAAUAUAGGUCACCCUCGGAGGGGAGCUCCCGAGGUAACACAGGAGUUUGAUUACCACCUCUGCCCCACGUGCACCACAGCAGGGACGCAGUAAUCACAGCAGUUUAUUACCUCGUGAAACGCUGCUGGCCUAGGCAGCAGCUGGGUGAUGGUGGGUAGGACACCAAAUGAAGAAAAUGUGCAAAGAGCCAGUCUAGAGCUGCAAAGAGUUAACCCCUGGUCACAGCCCUCUCACUAGUCCCAUGCCUGGUUAUCAGUGGGGGACACAAUUGAUUUACUCUGUCUCCCACCCAUGCAACAGUUCCAAAUCCCGCAUGCCAGCCAAGGGGCAGCAGCUGAAGGGCCAAAUCUGCUGUGAUAUAUAUUUUAAAUCCUUA
Passer montanus (Eurasian tree sparrow) is the source of this 2291-nucleotide long non-coding RNA. RefSeq lists it as uncharacterized. The transcript is spliced from 4 exons. Lineage: Eukaryota; Metazoa; Chordata; Aves; Passeriformes; Passeridae. The record is from RefSeq and is a predicted model, not a curated record.